CCUACGGGAGGCAGCAGUGAGGAAUAUUGGUCAAUGGACGAGAGUCUGAACCAGCCAAGUAGCGUGAAGGAUGACUGCCCUAUGGGUUGUAAACUUCUUUUAUAUGGGAAUAAAACAGGGUAUGCAUACCCUCUUGUAUGUACCAUAUGAAUAAGGAUCGGCUAACUCCGUGCCAGCAGCCGCGGUAAUACGGAGGAUCCGAGCGUUAUCCGGAUUUAUUGGGUUUAAAGGGAGCGUAGGUGGAUUGUUAAGUCAGUUGUGAAAGUUUGCGGCUCAACCGUGAAAUUGUAGUUGAAACUGGCAGGCUUGAGUGCAGUAGAGGUAGGCGGAAUUCGUGGUGUAGCGGUGAAAUGCUUAGAGAUCACGAAGAACUCCGAUUGCGAAGGCAGCUCACUGGACUGCAACUGACACUGAUGCUCGAAAGUGUGGGUAUCAAACAGGAUUAGAUACCCUGGUAGUC
Molecule: ribosomal RNA, 460 nt
Filed under: uncultured bacterium
Lineage: Bacteria
Description: partial 16S ribosomal RNA
Rfam family: Bacterial small subunit ribosomal RNA
Source: RNAcentral